Molecule: transfer-messenger RNA, 392 nt
Filed under: Candidatus Omnitrophota
Lineage: Bacteria; Pseudomonadati
Also listed under: 1 other name
Description: UBA10183 sp018819285 Standard tmRNA
Rfam family: transfer-messenger RNA
About the family: Bacterial tmRNA, also known as 10Sa RNA or SsrA, is named for its dual tRNA and mRNA-like properties.
Source: RNAcentral
GGGGGCGAAAGGUUUCGACUUUGAUAGGCUUGGUAAGAGCAGCAUGUUGAGGUUGUCAGGAGGCCUCAUUAAAAACCUGGCACAAAUUAAACGCCAACUACAAUGCAGUAGCUGAAGCGGAAGCGAUCCUUACUUCUAGCGAGGCGGUAGCUGUUGCCUAAUUAGGCAACCCGUUUACAAGUCCUGCCUGCGGGGCUUGCUAAACGUCAUUAGCAGGCUGGCUUUUUCACUUUAUGUCUUUUAGGAAAAGGCGAGGAGCAUAGAAAAGGCUUUGGUUUACAUAAUCCCGCUUAUUGGAGAAUGCAGGCCGAGACGGAAAAAGUAAGCUAAGCAUGUAGAUACUCUUAUUGGGAUAUUGAAGGACGCGGAUUCGAAUUCCGCCGCCUCCACCA